GCUUGCUCCCUGUGUAAACCCUAUACCAGCCCCUAGAAAACUCCGGCAGUGCGCACGGAAACCCUGAGCAGACAAUCCAGUGUGGAAAGAGUACUCUGGAGAUAGCAAGUUUAAGAAGCGUGAUUUUAAAGUAGGGAUAGUGAAGCAUUUUCAGCUUGAGAGCCGCAUUCCCUUCUGAGGGCCACAUGCCAGCAAUGGGUGGAGCAAGAGGCAUAAGUGGGCACAGCAAUUGUACAGUACAGUAGGCUAGUUGCUACGCAGACUUGCACAUCCCUCUCUUGUCUUCCAUCCAGGGAAGAAAGAAACAUCAUCAGAGUUCAAGGACACCUUGCAGCGAGGCAAAGAAGCGUAAGGAGGGUGCAAAAGGAUGCAGUUUGGGGAGGGUGGACUAGGCAGGGUAUGGCCUAGAGAGGGUCCCAAGGGCCAAACAGAGAGGCCUUGAGGGCCGGGUUUUCUUCCAAGGCCUGAAAUUCUCCAUUCUGGUUUUAUAGAAUAUAAUUUUCUUUUUCAGAUGUUUUCGUCUUUCUUUUUUUUGUUAACACAGAACACCAAGAGAGUGCUCAUGUCCCUGGUUCAGGAAGAUGUUGCCUUGGAAUUCUAAGGAAGCUUUUUCUCCAGCAGUGAAGCAGCUGAGGCUGAGAGCUAAUACAGAACCAGCGCAGGGGCAAGCAAGAGGCAUGAUCGGAGCUCAAGGACACAUUCCAGCCAGUAGGAACUUUGAGGACAGCUCCCAAUGGGUGUGUUGAAGCCUGGGGAUGUAAUAGUGUUUCUCUGACAUUGUUCUUGAAGGAAAUGCACAAGGGAAGGGCAAGCCAAGUGCCCUGCAACUGUGCCCUCUCUGGCCAGGACUGCCUGCUCCAACUGACGGUGUCUCUCCAGAGUUUCUCCCUCUCUCAAAACGCUAGACCUCGUGGGCAUCCAGUGAGCCUGAAUGUUGGAAGGUUGAGGACAGACCAAAGGGAGUUCAUACAGCUCAUAGUUGGACUAUGGGAAUUUGCUCCCACAAGAUGUGGUCCCAGCUUGGGUGGCUUUGAAAAGUGAUUAGACAAAUUCAUGAGGGCUAAGGCUAUUGAUGGCUAUAGUGCCUCCUGUACUGGAAGCAACAUACCUCCGAAUACCAGUUGGGGGGGGGGAUUGUGGGAUAGAGCCAUUGUCCUUGUGUUCUGCUUGUGGCCUUCCACAGGCAUCUGCUGGGAUAUUGUGAGGAUCAGGAUGCUUUACUAGAUGGACCUUUGGUCUGGUGCAGCAGGGCUCUCCUUACUGUGUUAUGUAGGGGAUGCCAGUGUGGUAUCUGCAGGCACCUGUGUGCCCACCAAGUACCUCCUGUGAUACCCACAAAAGGUCUCUGUGUAUAUUCCUUCAAAAAUCCACAAUGCACAAGAGGGUGUUUGCUCUUCCUCCUCAUCUGCUGUUUGCACUGACUCAGCCUCUCCUACAUUGAACAUGCCCACAUAUCAUUGGAUGCCAGGAUUGGACACCCUCCCGUCCAUUCUGAACUGAGGAAAGGUGCAAAGCUUCCAGCACUUGCUUAAAACGUUUUUGUUUAGGCAAGCCUAUCCAGUCACAUGGAUGCUGAUGUGUUCUAAUCGUUUUAGUCUGUUGCUGUUUAAUUGUUCUUAAAAUGUUUUAAACUGCUUGUUUUUAACUGCUUUAUGGAUCAGUUUAAUGUUUUUUAUAAACUGCUUGGAGGGGUUUUUUUUACAAUCGAGUGGUAUAUAAAUUUUGUGAAAUAAAAAAAGAGCUUCUCUGUGUGCACGAGCACAGCGGUGCCUUUUUUCUCAUUAAUGGAGAGUAUGCCCACACAUUUUUGUGGUCCUGCCCCUUUUCUGCUCUUUUAGAUGUGGCAGCCAUUUUGUGUUCUUUUUCAAAUUUUAUUAUGCAGUCAUAGACCCACAAUACAAGUGAUUAAGCAGUCAGUUAAACAAACAAGAUUAAAACCAAAUACAGUAUUAAUGAUAAUAAUUUAGCAAGAGGCCAGGGUAGUACAGAUUGGCCUUUUCUGUAAAGUCUGAGCUACAUAGAGAAACUUUGCAACUAAUUCAAUCUUUAUCCUUGUCAGACAGAAGAUAUUGCACGAGCCACUCAAUAGAUCUACCGGGAAAGGCUUUGGUGAUUGGAAAAAUAAGUCUAGAUCGAGCAUCCCUGUAUACUUCACAGGAAAGUAGGACGUGUCCAACUGUUCAUUUUGUGUUCUGUUACACUCAUGUAACAGCUAUUUUGUGACUGGUGCCCUCAAGCACUUUCUCAAAAUUUCAAAUGUGCCCACUGGCUCGAAAAGGUUUAUAAGAAAGAGAUGU
Long non-coding RNA from Rhineura floridana, 2297 nucleotides. RefSeq lists it as uncharacterized. The record is from RefSeq and is a predicted model, not a curated record. The transcript is spliced from 4 exons. Lineage: Eukaryota; Metazoa; Chordata; Lepidosauria; Squamata; Rhineuridae.